Molecule: ribosomal RNA, 471 nt
Filed under: uncultured bacterium
Lineage: Bacteria
Description: SSU rRNA
Rfam family: Bacterial small subunit ribosomal RNA
Source: RNAcentral
AGGACGAACGCUGGCGGCGUGCUUAACACAUGCAAGUCGAGCGGAAAGGCCCUUCGGGGUACUCGAGCGGCGAACGGGUGAGUAACACGUGAGCAACCUGCCCUUGGCUCUGGGAUAGCCUCCGGAAACGGGGAUUAAUACCGGACAUUCACUUUCUCCUGCAUGGGGGUUGGUGGAAAGUUUUUCGGCCAGGGAGGGGCUCGCGGCCUAUCAGCUUGUUGGCGGGUAACGGCCCACCAAGGCGAUGACGGGUAGCCGGCCUGAGAGGGCGAUCGGCCACACUGGGACUGAGACACGGCCCAGACUCCUACGGGAGGCAGCAGUGGGGAAUAUUGCACAAUGGGCGCAAGCCUGAUGCAGCGACGCCGCGUGGGGGAUGAAGGCCUUCGGGUUGUAACCCCUUUCACCAGGAGCGAAUUCAGACGGUACCGUGGGGAAGAAGCGCCGGCUAACGUACGCCGCAGCAGCCGC